This 653-nucleotide ribosomal RNA is filed under the name uncultured bacterium. Its description in RNAcentral is "bacterial SSU rRNA". It matches the Rfam family "Bacterial small subunit ribosomal RNA", at positions 202 to 842 of the family's 1533-position model. The record is from RNAcentral.
AAAAGGUGGCUAUGCUACCGCUUUUGGAUGGGCCCGCGGCGCAUUAGCUAGUUGGUGGGGUAAAGGCUUACCAAGGCAAUGAUGCGUAGCCGAACUGAGAGGUUGAUCGGCCACAUUGGGACUGAGACACGGCCCAAACUCCUACGGGAGGCAGCAGUAGGGAAUCUUCCACAAUGGGCGAAAGCCUGAUGGAGCAACGCCGCGUGGGUGAAGAAGGUCUUCGGAUCGUAAAACCCUGUUGUUAGAGAAGAAAGUGCGUGGGAGUAACUGUUCACGUUUCGACGGUAUCUAACCAGAAAGCCACGGCUAACUACGUGCCAGCAGCCGCGGUAAUACGUAGGUGGCAAGCGUUAUCCGGAUUUAUUGGGCGUAAAGGGAACGCAGGCGGUCUUUUAAGUCUGAUGUGAAAGCCUUCGGCUUAACCGGAGUAGUGCAUUGGAAACUGGGAGACUUGAGUGCAGAAGAGGAGAGUGGAACUCCAUGUGUAGCGGUGAAAUGCGUAGAUAUAUGGAAGAACACCAGUGGCGAAAGCGGCUCUCUGGUCUGUAACUGACGCUGAGGUUCGAAAGCGUGGGUAGCAAACAGGAUUAGAUACCCUGGUAGUCCACGCCGUAAACGAUGAAUGCUAAGUGUUGGAGGGUUUCCGCCCUUCA